CAAAUAAUAGCCGAACGACAGCACAUCCGUUCCUUUCUCUUAUAAAAAUUAACAACACAUUUUCACUUUAAAAUUCCCCUAAUCUCUCAACUCCACUGCACGCAAUCCUCCGAAGAACCCUAAAUCCAGGUGCUGUCCAAGUUUACAUUUAUAGAUGAGAUCAUCAUAUUUGACCAAUGGUGUGAAUAUUAAUUUUCUUUUAUUAUGUCUUUAUUUUUGUAGUUCAGUUUUCAUGGAGCUUGUUGCAAUGGAGUCAAUUGAGUGGUCAACCUUAAUAUUUAUUACAUUGUAGGACACUCACAUGAAAACAUUAUAUCUUUCUUGUUUUAUUUUGUGUAUGUGAGAUUUGUGGCAUAAAUCAAUGAUUUCCAUAUU
Mangifera indica (mango) is the source of this 375-nucleotide long non-coding RNA. RefSeq lists it as uncharacterized. Lineage: Eukaryota; Viridiplantae; Streptophyta; Magnoliopsida; Sapindales; Anacardiaceae. The record is from RefSeq and is a predicted model, not a curated record. The transcript is spliced from 2 exons.